AGUGAACGCUGGCGGUAGGCCUAACACAUGCAAGUCGAACGGCAGCACAGUAAGAGCUUGCUCUUAUGGGUGGCGAGUGGCGGACGGGUGAGGAAUACAUCGGAAUCUACUUUUUCGUGGGGGAUAACGUAGGGAAACUUACGCUAAUACCGCAUACGACCUACGGGUGAAAGCAUGGGAUCUUCGGACCUUGCGCGAUUGAAUGAGCCGAUGUCGGAUUAGCUAGUUGGCGGGGUAAAGGCCCACCAAGGCGACGAUCCGUAGCUGGUCUGAGAGGAUGAUCAGCCACACUGGAACUGAGACACGGUCCAGACUCCUACGGGAGGCAGCAGUGGGGAAUAUUGGACAAUGGGCGCAAGCCUGAUCCAGCCAUACCGCGUGGGUGAAGAAGGCCUUCGGGUUGUAAAGCCCUUUUGUUGGGAAAGAAAAGCAGCAGGUUAAUACCCCGCUGUUCUGACGGUACCCAAGGAAUAAGCACCGGCUAACUUCGUG
Molecule: ribosomal RNA, 492 nt
Filed under: uncultured bacterium
Lineage: Bacteria
Description: partial 16S ribosomal RNA
Rfam family: Bacterial small subunit ribosomal RNA
Source: RNAcentral